GAUGAACGCUAGCUACAGGCUUAACACAUGCAAGUCGAGGGGAAACGCCAUCGAAAGCUUGCUUUUGAUGGGCGUCGACCGGCGCACGGGUGAGUAACGCGUAUCCAACCUGCCCACCACUUGGGGAUAACCUUGCGAAAGUAAGACUAAUACCCAAUGAUAUCUCUAGAAGACAUCUGAAAGAGAUUAAAGAUUUAUCGGUGAUGGAUGGGGAUGCGUCUGAUUAGCUUGUUGGCGGGGUAACGGCCCACCAAGGCAACGAUCAGUAGGGGUUCUGAGAGGAAGGUCCCCCACAUUGGAACUGAGACACGGUCCAAACUCCUACGGGAGGCAGCAGUGAGGAAUAUUGGUCAAUGGACGAGAGUCUGAACCAGCCAAGUAGCGUGCAGGAAGACGGCCCUAUGGGUUGUAAACUGCUUUUAUAAGGGAAUAAAGUGAGUCUCGUGAGACUUUUUGCAUGUACCUUAUGAAUAAGGACCGGCUAAUUCCGUG
RNAcentral lists this ribosomal RNA (492 nucleotides) under uncultured bacterium. RNAcentral describes it as "partial 16S ribosomal RNA". It matches the Rfam family "Bacterial small subunit ribosomal RNA", at positions 28 to 507 of the family's 1533-position model. The record is from RNAcentral.